AGUCGAGCGAGAAAGGGGGGGCAACCCCCUGAGUAGAGCGGCGCACGGGUGAGUAACGCGUGGGUAACCUACCCCCAGGCGGGGGAUAACUACUCGAAAGGGUGGCUAAUACCGCAUGAGACCACGGGAUCUUCGGAUCCUGAGGCUAAAGAUCGCACCGGCUUGCCGGUGCUGUCACCAGGGGAUGGGCCCGCGUCCGAUUAGCUAGUUGGUGAGGUAAUGGCUCACCAAGGCUCCGAUCGGUAGCUGGUCUGAGAGGAUGAUCAGCCACACUGGAACUGAAACACGGUCCAGACUCCUACGGGAGGCAGCAGUGAGGAAUAUUGCGCAAUGGGGGAAACCCUGACGCAGCAACGCCGCGUGGGUGAAGAAGGCCUUCGGGUCGUAAAGCCCUUUCGGACGGGACGAACGCUCCGCGGUGACAAGCCGCGGAGUCUGACGGUACCGUAGGAAGAAGCACCGGCUAACUCCGUGCCAGCAGCCGCGGUAAUACGGAGGGUGCGAGCGUUGUUCGGAAUUACUGGGCGUAAAGCGCGUGUAGGCGGCCUUGCAAGUCAGGCGUGAAAGCCCUCGGCUUAACCGGGGAAGUGCGUCUGAAACUGCUUGGCUUGAGUACGGGAGAGGGAGGCGGAAUUCCCAGUGUAGAGGUGAAAUUCGUAGAUAUUGGGAGGAACACCGGUGGCGAAAGCGGCCUCCUGGACCGAUACUGACGCUGAGACGCGAAAGCGUGGGGAGCAAACAGGAUUAGAUACCCUGGUAGUCCACGCGGUAAACGAUGGGCACUAGGUGUGGGGGGUAUCCACUCCUCCCGUGCCGAAGCUAACGCAUUAAGUGCCCCGCCUGGGGAGUAC
Molecule: ribosomal RNA, 851 nt
Filed under: uncultured bacterium
Lineage: Bacteria
Description: bacterial SSU rRNA
Rfam family: Bacterial small subunit ribosomal RNA
Source: RNAcentral